RNAcentral lists this ribosomal RNA (328 nucleotides) under uncultured bacterium. RNAcentral describes it as "bacterial SSU rRNA". It matches the Rfam family "Bacterial small subunit ribosomal RNA", at positions 28 to 334 of the family's 1533-position model. The record is from RNAcentral.
GAUGAACGCUGGCGGCGUGCUUAACACAUGCAAGUCGAGCGAAGCAAUCUAAGUGAAGUUUUCGGAUGGAUCUUGGAUUGACUGAGCGGGCGGACGGGUCGAGGUAACGGCGUGGAUAACCUGCCUCACACAGGGGGAUAACAGUUAGAAAUGACUGCUAAUACCGCAUAAGCGCACGGCAUCGCAUGAUACAGUGUGAAAAACUCCGGUGGUGUGAGAUGGAUCCGCGUCUGAUUAGGUAGUUGGUGGGGUAACGGCCCACCAAGCCGACGAUCAGUAGCCGGACUGAGAGGUUGAACGGCCACAUUGGGACUGAGAUACGGCCCAG